This 507-nucleotide ribosomal RNA is filed under the name uncultured bacterium. Its description in RNAcentral is "bacterial SSU rRNA". It matches the Rfam family "Bacterial small subunit ribosomal RNA", at positions 791 to 1304 of the family's 1533-position model. The record is from RNAcentral.
UAGUCCACGCUGUAAACGAUGAUUACUAGAUGUUCGGACUUCGGUCUGAGUGUCCAAGCGAAAGCGAUAAGUAAUCCACCUGGGGAGUACGUUCGCAAGAAUGAAACUCAAUGGAAUUGACGGGGGCCCGCACAAGCGGUGGAGCAUGUGGUUUAAUUCGAUGAUACGCGAGGAACCUUACCUGGGCUACAAUGCCUCUGCUACACCCUGAAAGGGGUGGUUCCUUCGGGACAGAGUGCAAGGUGCUGCAUGGUUGUCGUCAGCUCGUGCCGUGAGGUGUUGGGUUAAGUCCCGCAACGAGCGCAACCCUUACCUUUAGUUGCCAGCAUUUAGUUGGGCACUCUAGAGGGACUGCCGACGUUAAGUCGGAGGAAGGUGGGGAUGACGUCAAGUCCUCAUGGCCCUUAUAUCCUGGGCUACACACGUGCUACAAUGGCGUAUACAGAGGGAAGCAAGACCGCGAGGUGGAGCAAAUCCCACAAAGUACGUCUAAGUUCGGAUCGGAGU